This is a long non-coding RNA of Micropterus dolomieu (smallmouth bass), 642 nucleotides long. RefSeq lists it as uncharacterized. The transcript has 3 exons. NCBI's taxonomy places the organism in Eukaryota, Metazoa, Chordata, Actinopteri, Centrarchiformes, Centrarchidae. The record is from RefSeq and is a predicted model, not a curated record.
UCUCCUGAGUCAAAAAAAAAAAAAAGAUUCGUUCAAAUGAACGAAACGUUCAUUAACAGAUACAAAACUAGUGCCAGGUUAACAUCAGAAUCAGAAUCAGCUUUAUUGCCAGAGCUGUCCUUCGAGGUGCAGCACGGGUGUUGGAUAUUGACCUUACCUGGGGUAUCUCCCCAUAUUUAUAAAACACGUCCACCACAUCUUUGUUUCUCUCAAAGGUUGGACUGGGCUCAUUGUCUCCCCAGUCCAGAGCCGGAUCAUGAUUCAGGAUCAGAUAAGGAUUAUGCUUCAGGAUGGACACAUGGAGCAGAAGCAUGGAAGCAUUUUACCGGGAGAGGAUCCUGGCCUCUGGCCCUGUCCAUCAAAACCGGAAAAACUAAAUUGGCUUUCAAACAAUCAAAAGAAAAUGCAUAUUUUUGUAUGGGUCCUCAGAGAUGCAAUCACUGAUGGCAUCCUGAUGAGUGAUUGUUUUUCAAAUUAAAAAAAUAAAUAAAUUAAGAGGAGUAAAGCUCGGAUCAAAACCAGGAGGAAAGCUGGUAGGGGCAGGAUGGAUCCAUGCACCUAAACAGAGUGGCAAAUAGUGGGCAACCAGUUGGGGGGAAGAGGGAGGGCUGGGAGGAAACAAGAAAAGUUGAGGCCAGUCUU